AUUGAACGCUGGCGGCAGGCCUAACACAUGCAAGUCGAGCGGAUGAAGGGAGCUUGCUCCUGGAUUCAGCGGCGGACGGGUGAGUAAUGCCUAGGAAUCUGCCUGGUAGUGGGGGAUAACGUCCGGAAACGGGCGCUAAUACCGCAUACGUCCUGAGGGAGAAAGUGGGGGAUCUUCGGACCUCACGCUAUCAGAUGAGCCUAGGUCGGAUUAGCUAGUUGGUGGGGUAAAGGCCUACCAAGGCGACGAUCCGUAACUGGUCUGAGAGGAUGAUCAGUCACACUGGAACUGAGACACGGUCCAGACUCCUACGGGAGGCAGCAGUGGGGAAUAUUGGACAAUGGGCGAAAGCCAGAUCCAGCCAUGCCGCGUGUGUGAAGAAGGUCUUCGGAUUGUAAAGCACUUUAAGUUGGGAGGAAGGGCAGUAAGUUAAUACCUUGCUGUUUUGACGUUACCAACAGAAUAAGCACCGGCUAACUUCGUG
Molecule: ribosomal RNA, 484 nt
Filed under: uncultured bacterium
Lineage: Bacteria
Description: partial 16S ribosomal RNA
Rfam family: Bacterial small subunit ribosomal RNA
Source: RNAcentral